UGGGAGAACAACAGGGAUUGCCCUAGUAACGGCGAGUGAAGCGGCAACAGCUCAAAUUUGAAAUCUGGCUUUCGGGCCCGAGUUGUAAUUUGUAGAGGAUGAUUUUGGCGCGGUGCCUUCCGAGUUCCCUGGAACGGGACGCCUUAGAGGGUGAGAGCCCCGUACGGUUGGACACCAAGCCUCUGUAAAUCUCCUUCGACGAGUCGAGUAGUUUGGGAAUGCUGCUCUAAAUGGGAGGUAAAUUCCUUCUAAAGCUAAAUACCGGCCAGAGACCGAUAGCGCACAAGUAGAGUGAUCGAAAGAUGAAAAGCACUUUGAAAAGAGGGUUAAAUAGCACGUGAAAUUGUUGAAAGGGAAGCAUUUACUACCAGACCUUCUCCUGGCGGAUCAUGCGGUGUUCUCACCGCUGCACUUCGCCUGGUUUAGGCCAGCAUCGGUUUUCGUAGGGGGAUAAAAGCUUUAGGAACGUAGCUCCCUCGGGAGUGUUAUAGCCUUUUGCAUAAUACCCUUACGGGGACCGAGGACCGCGCUUUUGCAAGGAUGCUGGCAUAAUGGUAGUCAAUGACCCGUCUUGAAACACGGACCAAGGAGUCGAACAUUUGUGCGAGUGUUUGGGUGUUAAACCCUCACGCGUAAUGAAAGUGAACGUAGGUGAGAGCCCUUACGGGUGCAUCAUCGACCGAUCUUGAUGUCUUCGGAUGGAUUUGAGUAAGAGCAUAACUGUUCGGACCCGAAAGAUGGUGAACUAUGCGUGGAUAGGGUGAAGCCAGAGGAAACUCUGGUGGAGGCUCGCAGCGGUUCUGACGUGCAAAUCGAUCGUCAAAUCUGCGCAUGGGGGCGAAAGACUUAUCGAACCAUUAAACCAGCGGUAAAUUUACUUACUAGGUGGUUAAGAGGCCCCCCGUCAGGGGAAGGCCUAGACGCCCUACCCUGGAGGUGCUACCCUGCACUUCCGGGUGGGCUGUCGACAUCGCUAAAUUGCGGGAACAUCCCACUACAAGGCUAGGGGCUACCGCCGCCUGCUGAAAAGCACGGCGGCACUGAGUGUAGCGCUCUCAGGCGUGGUAAAAACGCCCCUAGUAUCGGACGACCUGCAGCCAACCCCGUACUUCAGGGGAGGGUUCACAGACUAAACAGCGAUGGGUCAGCGGUUGCUGGCCUAAGACAUAGUCGAUCUGGGGCCUGAAAAGGCGCCCUGCAGCGUGGCACGUAGGUUCACAGCGUGAGCUGGG
Molecule: ribosomal RNA, 1232 nt
Filed under: Muscodor sp.
Lineage: Eukaryota; Fungi; Ascomycota; Sordariomycetes; Xylariales
Description: partial 28S ribosomal RNA
Rfam family: Eukaryotic large subunit ribosomal RNA
Source: RNAcentral